GUGUCAGCCGCCGCGGUAAUACGUAGGGGGCAAGCGUUAUCCGGAUUCAUUGGGCGUAAAGAGCGCGUAGGCGGCUUGUUAAGCGAGAUGUGAAAACCGGGGGCUUAACCCGCGGCCUGCAUCUCGAACUGGCAGGCUUGAGUCUGGUAGAGGAGUGUGGAAUUCCCAGUGUAGCGGUGAAAUGCGCAGAUAUUGGGAGGAACACCAGUGGCGAAGGCGGCACUCUGGGCCACGACUGACGCUGAGGCGCGAAAGCUAGGGGAGCAAACAGGAUUAGAAACCCCCGUAGUCC
This 292-nucleotide ribosomal RNA is filed under the name uncultured bacterium. RNAcentral describes it as "partial 16S ribosomal RNA". It matches the Rfam family "Bacterial small subunit ribosomal RNA", at positions 505 to 796 of the family's 1533-position model. The record is from RNAcentral.